RNAcentral lists this ribosomal RNA (253 nucleotides) under uncultured bacterium. Its description in RNAcentral is "partial 16S ribosomal RNA". It matches the Rfam family "Bacterial small subunit ribosomal RNA", at positions 524 to 776 of the family's 1533-position model. The record is from RNAcentral.
UUCAGAGGUCCCAAGCGUUGUUCGGAUUCACUGGGCGUAAAGGGUGCGUAGGUGGUGAGGUAAGUCGGAUGUGAAAGCUCGGAGCUCAACUCCGAAAUGGCAUUGGAAACUACCUUGCUCGAGGGUUGGAGGGGGGACUGGAAUUCUCGGUGUAGCAGUGAAAUGCGUAGAUAUCGAGAGGAACACCAGUGGCGAAGGCGAGUCCCUGGACAACUCCUGACACUGAGGCACGAAAGCUAGGGGAGCAAACAGG